RNAcentral lists this transfer RNA (70 nucleotides) under Astyanax mexicanus (Mexican tetra). It matches the Rfam family "tRNA". Rfam says of the family: Transfer RNA (tRNA) molecules are approximately 80 nucleotides in length. Their secondary structure includes four short double-helical elements and three loops (D, anti-codon, and T loops). Further hydrogen bonds mediate the characteristic L-shaped molecular structure. tRNAs have two regions of fundamental functional importance: the anti-codon, which is responsible for specific mRNA codon recognition, and the 3' end, to which the tRNAs corresponding amino acid is attached (by aminoacyl-tRNA synthetases). tRNAs cope with the degeneracy of the genetic code in two manners: having more than one tRNA (with a specific anti-codon) for a particular amino acid; and 'wobble' base-pairing, i.e. permitting non-standard base-pairing at the 3rd anti-codon position. Lineage: Eukaryota; Metazoa; Chordata; Actinopteri; Characiformes; Acestrorhamphidae. The record is from Rfam by way of RNAcentral.
GCAUUGGUGGUUCAGUGGUAGAAUUCUCGCCUGCCACGCGGAGGGCCGGAGUCGAUUCCCGGCCAAUGCA